RNAcentral lists this long non-coding RNA (342 nucleotides) under Mytilus galloprovincialis (Mediterranean mussel). The record is from RNAcentral. Lineage: Eukaryota; Metazoa; Mollusca; Bivalvia; Mytilida; Mytilidae.
GGGCAGUAAUCCAGUCUCAGAUUUUUGUUUUGGUUAUAUUGUAUACAGCUGAUUGUAUUUUAAUACUAUUUACAAAUACUUCUUAUAUGUCAAAAGAAAAAAAAAAUUGCUGUACCUGAUAUUGUGAUUUAUAUUGAAAUUGAUAAAGACAACAAACUCAAUAAUGAGCUAUUCCAAUAUCAAUCUCCCUAGGGAAAAAAUGGGGUGCUACCUAAUUUUAGACCUCCAUAGUGCCCAUAGACACAUCAAACACUUGCCAAAAUAUAAGCCUGAACCCCUGAGGGGAUCACACAUUAAAUUAUAAAAGUUGUAUAUAUUCUACACCGUGAAUAAGACCAAACA